UAUUUGCAGAUGUUUGUUUGCUUUGGGACCCACUCCUGCUGAGUUUUUCAGCUCUCAACCAACUGUAACCCUAAGAAAAUACAACAGAAAGCUGAAUUCCAGCUCUACAGCUGAACCUGAAUUUUCACCCAGUCUGACCAGGGGGAUGAAGCCUUGCUGUGGGAUCAGUCCCUACGGCACUGCGUGGCUCUGAAGCACGUGCCAGAAAUGGCUGCUCUACCUUGGGGAAUGCAGAAGCCAGAAGUAAAUUUUGAAGAGCAGCUGAAAAAAGUGAAGGAGACUUAUCCCUGGGAUCUCUGUCCAUCUUGCAGGGAGGAACAAGCACAGACUUUCUGAGGGGUGAGGGCUUGCAACACGCAAGGCUUGUGAGCUGUUAGACCAAACAUCUGGGACCUCCAGAAUGGCUGCAUUGAUGGAUCCAGUGAAAGUCACAAAGGCAAACUGGCAGCUGUAUCACUACCAGUUGGUCACCAGCAAUUGUGACUGCAUACUUGAACAAGCAUGCCAAAAAUACUCUCUGCUGUAGAACUUAUUUGCUAGUUCAGAAGCGUUUUAUAAUUGCAGAUGAUAAAGGAAGUCUGUUGGAUUGUCCCCACUCGUUCUCCUAGAAAAAAAAUGAACUACACAGUGCAAAUGAUAUUUUUCACCCUUUUCUAAUUAGCUAAUAUGCUAUGCGUCAUGGUUUACUUCUGACCUUAUUCUGGAAGGUUAGAAACAUAGACAGCAAUGGGAUACUUUGGUUCUUUUAAUUUGUUCAUCUUACUUUAAAAUAUAUGUAUACAAAUAGCAAGGAUCUUUCACCCAGAGGUGAUCAGCUCUUGCUAAUACUG
Molecule: long non-coding RNA, 830 nt
Filed under: Phasianus colchicus (ring-necked pheasant)
Lineage: Eukaryota; Metazoa; Chordata; Aves; Galliformes; Phasianidae
Description: lncRNA (ENSPCLG00000008750.1)
Source: RNAcentral